RNAcentral lists this unclassified non-coding RNA (397 nucleotides) under Hevea brasiliensis (rubber tree). The record is from RNAcentral. Lineage: Eukaryota; Viridiplantae; Streptophyta; Magnoliopsida; Malpighiales; Euphorbiaceae.
GCCCUCUAAAACUAGCCAGCCCAGUAAAAGGUGGCAUUUGGCAUUUGCCACAAUCUACUGUUCCAGAGCCAUACAAUCUCUUGCCAGUGGCUCCAUAGCAAACAAAAAAACCAGCAAACUUUCCCCCUCCCAUUCUUUUAUUAUACUCGAUAUUAACCCACACAACACCUCCUUCAAGAUCAAUCAAGCAAAUCUCACUGAGCUUGUAAAAGAGAAAAACCUAAAACAACUUCGACAAUUAGGUGGUGUUGCAGGUAUAGCCUCUGCUAUUAAAACCGACAUAGAAGGUGGCAUCUGUGGAGGUGUUCAAGACAUCGCUCGUCGUCAAGAAGCAUUUGGCUCCAACACCUACAAAAAACCACCGACAAAGAGUUUUUUCCAUUUUGUGGUAGAAGCU